AGUGAACGCUGGCGGCGUGGAUUAGGCAUGCAAGUCGAGCGAUCCUUGCUGAAUCAAGAGGUGCUUGCAUCUCAAGAGGAGGCGCGGGAUAGCGGCAAACGGGUGAGUAACACGUGAGUAAUCUUUCCUUAAGACAGGUAUAGCUUCGUGAAAACGGAGGUAAUUCCUGAUAGUUCCAUUAAAACGCAUGUUUUUUUGGAUAAAGGCGGGGACCCUUCGGGGCCUGCCGCUUAAGGAUGAGCUUGCGUCCUAUCAGCUAGUAGGUGAGGUAACGGCUCACCUAGGCGAAGACGGGUAGCCGGCCUGAGAGGGCGAACGGCCACACUGGAACUGAGAUACGGUCCAGACUCCUACGGGAGGCAGCAGUGGGGAAUAUUGGGCAAUGGGGAAACCCUGACCCAGCGACGCCGCGUGGGUGAAGAAAUCCUUCGGGAUGUAAAGCCCUGUUGUAUGGGAAGAGCGGAAGACGGUACCAUACGAGGAAGCCCCGGCAAACUACGUGCCAGCAGCCGC
Molecule: ribosomal RNA, 513 nt
Filed under: uncultured bacterium
Lineage: Bacteria
Description: bacterial SSU rRNA
Rfam family: Bacterial small subunit ribosomal RNA
Source: RNAcentral